UGGGGAAUAUUGGACAAUGGGGGCAACCCUGAUCCAGCAAUGCCGCGUGUGUGAAGAAGGCCCUAGGGUUGUAAAAGCACUUUCAAUUGGGAAGAAAGUUCCGGGUUAAUAACCCGUGGACCAUGACGGUACCUUUAGAAGAAGCACCGGCUAACUCCGUGCCAGCAGCCGCGGUAAUACGGAGGGUGCGAGCGUUAAUCGGAAUUACUGGGCGUAAAGCGCGCGUAGGCGGUUUGGUAAGUCAGAUGUGAAAGCCCCGGGCUCAACCUGGGAACUGCAUUUGAUACUGCCUGACUAGAGUAUGGUAGAGGGAAGUGGAAUUCCACAUGUAGCGGUGAAAUGCGUAGAGAUGUGGAGGAACACCAGUGGCGAAGGCGGCUUCCUGGACCAAUACUGACGCUGAGGUGCGAAAGCGUGGGGAGCAAA
RNAcentral lists this ribosomal RNA (426 nucleotides) under uncultured bacterium. RNAcentral describes it as "bacterial SSU rRNA". It matches the Rfam family "Bacterial small subunit ribosomal RNA", at positions 355 to 772 of the family's 1533-position model. The record is from RNAcentral.